GACGAAUGCUGGCGGCGUGCCUAAUACAUGCAAGUUGAGCGCUGAAGGUUGGUACUUGUACCGACUGGAUGAGCAGCGAACGGGUGAGUAACGCGUGGGGAAUCUGCCUUUGAGCGGGGGACAACAUUUGGAAACGAAUGCUAAUACCGCAUAAAAACUUUAAACACAAGUUUUAAGUUUGAAAGAUGCAAUUGCAUCACUCAAAGAUGAUCCCGCGUUGUAUUAGCUAGUUGGUGAGGUAAAGGCUCACCAAGGCGAUGAUACAUAGCCGACCUGAGAGGGUGAACGGCCACAUUGGGACUGGGACACGGCCCAAACUCCUACGGGAGGCAGCAGUAGGGAAUCUUCGGCAAUGGACGAAAGUCUGACCGAGCAACGCCGCGUGAGUGAAGAAGGUUUUCGGAUCGUAAAACUCUGUUGGUAGAGAAGAACGUUGGUGAGAGUGGAAAGCUCAUCAAGUGACGGUAACUACCCAGAAAGGGACGGCUAACUACGUG
This 497-nucleotide ribosomal RNA is filed under the name uncultured bacterium. Its description in RNAcentral is "partial 16S ribosomal RNA". It matches the Rfam family "Bacterial small subunit ribosomal RNA", at positions 28 to 507 of the family's 1533-position model. The record is from RNAcentral.